UUGGAGGGCAGUCUGGUGCCAGCAGCCGCGGUAAUUCCAGCUCCAAUAGCGUAUAUUAAAGUUGUUGCAGUUAAAAAGCUCGUAGUUGAAUUUCGGGAUCAGAUUGUCGGUCGUGCCUCGGUACGCACUGGCAUUAUUGGUUCCUACCUUCUGAAGAACCGCGAUGUCAUUAAUUUGGUGUCGUGGGGAAUCAGGACUGUUACUUUGAAAAAAUUAGAGUGUUUAAAGCAGGCGCACGCUUGAAUACAUUAGCAUGGAAUAAUGAAAUAGGACGUUUGAUUCUAUUUUGUUGGUUUCUAGGAUCGACGUAAUGAUUAAUAGGGAUAGUUGGGGGCAUUAGUAUUCAAUUGUCAGAGGUGAAAUUCUUGGAUUUAUUGAAGACUAACUACUGCGAAAGCAUUUGCCAAGGAUGUUUUCAUUAAUCAAGAACGAAAGUUAGGGGAUCGAAGACGAUCAGAUACCGUCGUAGUCUUAACCAUAAACUAUGCCGACUAGGGAUCGGAUGAUGUUAAUUUUUUAAUGACUCAUUCGGCGCCUUACGGGAAAC
RNAcentral lists this ribosomal RNA (547 nucleotides) under uncultured Glomeromycotina. RNAcentral's name for it is "SSU rRNA". It matches the Rfam family "Eukaryotic small subunit ribosomal RNA", at positions 548 to 1098 of the family's 1831-position model. Lineage: Eukaryota; Fungi; Glomeromycota. The record is from RNAcentral.